RNAcentral lists this small nuclear RNA (188 nucleotides) under Mus musculus (house mouse). RNAcentral describes it as "7SK RNA". It matches the Rfam family "7SK RNA", at positions 1 to 188 of the family's 331-position model. Rfam says of the family: 7SK was discovered as an abundant small nuclear RNA in the mid-70s but a possible function has only recently been suggested. The record is from Rfam by way of RNAcentral. Lineage: Eukaryota; Metazoa; Chordata; Mammalia; Rodentia; Muridae.
AGACAUCUGAGUGACCUGCAGUGACAUCUGUCACCGACUGAUCACUUGGGCAGAUCUGAUUGAUCUGGCUGGCUAGGUGUGUGUCUCCUUCCCACCUCUUGCUUCUCCAUAUGCAUCCCUCCCAGAGUUACACACUUGAUCGAAGAAGACAGACUUUUCUGGUUGUGGUGGACUGCGUAAUGUGUAAA